This is a non-coding RNA of Pelobates cultripes (western spadefoot toad), 222 nucleotides long. Lineage: Eukaryota; Metazoa; Chordata; Amphibia; Anura; Pelobatidae. The record is from the annotation of a GenBank genome assembly.
GGUUGCCUUACGUCCCAGCUCACACACAAUCCAGCAGCAGAGUCCUAUCCAGUGACCACCAGGGCACAAGCAUGCAGAGGGGAACCCGCGCACUCCGAGGAAUCUCAGGUAGGACCCUGGGUCCCUUCAACCCCCACUGAUCCCAUCCCAUUCUGGGACACCCCCUUAGUUUUUGGACAGGAACAGAAGGCCAAUCCCACGUUAGAAGGAGGCAGAUAAACC